This 253-nucleotide ribosomal RNA is filed under the name uncultured bacterium. Its description in RNAcentral is "partial 16S ribosomal RNA". It matches the Rfam family "Bacterial small subunit ribosomal RNA", at positions 524 to 776 of the family's 1533-position model. The record is from RNAcentral.
UACGAAGGGGGCUAGCGUUGUUCGGAAUUACUGGGCGUAAAGCGCACGUAGGCGGACUAUUAAGUCAGGGGUGAAAUCCCGGGGCUCAACCCCGGAACUGCCUUUGAUACUGGUAGUCUCGAGUCCGGAAGAGGUGAGUGGAAUUCCCGGUGUAGCGGUGAAAUGCGCAGAUAUCGGGAGGAACACCAAUGGCGAAGGCAGCUCGCUGGGACGGUACUGACGCUGAGACGCGAAAGCGUGGGGAGCAAACAGG